CCUACGGGCGGCUGCAGUGGGGAAUAUUGGACAAUGGGGGCAACCCUGAUCCAGCCAUGCCGCGUGUGUGAAGAAGGCCCUCGGGUUGUAAAGCACUUUCAGUGAGGAAGAACGCCUGGUGGUUAAUACCCAUCAGGAAAGACAUCACUCACAGAAGAAGCACCGGCUAACUCCGUGCCAGCAGCCGCGGUAAUACGGAGGGUGCGAGCGUUAAUCGGAAUUACUGGGCGUAAAGCGCGCGUAGGUGGCUUGAUAAGCCGGUUGUGAAAGCCCCGGGCUCAACCUGGGAACGGCAUCCGGAACUGUCAAGCUAGAGUGCAGGAGAGGAAGGUAGAAUUCCCGGUGUAGCGGUGAAAUGCGUAGAGAUCGGGAGGAAUACCAGUGGCGAAGGCGGCCUUCUGGACUGACACUGACACUGAGGUGCGAAAGCGUGGGUAGCAAACAGGAUUAGAUACUCUUGUAGUC
RNAcentral lists this ribosomal RNA (465 nucleotides) under Vreelandella stevensii. RNAcentral's name for it is "partial 16S ribosomal RNA". It matches the Rfam family "Bacterial small subunit ribosomal RNA", at positions 338 to 795 of the family's 1533-position model. The record is from RNAcentral. Lineage: Bacteria; Pseudomonadati; Pseudomonadota; Gammaproteobacteria; Oceanospirillales; Halomonadaceae.